AACCAGCUCUUCAAGUGGUCGGGAUAAUUAUUGGGCUUAAAGUGUCCGUAGCUGGUAGGGUAAGUUCCUGGUAAAAUUGGGCAGCUUAACUGUCCUUGUGCUAGGGAUACUGUUCUACUAGAGGGCGGGAGAGGUCUGAGGUACUACAGGGGUAGGGGUGAAAUCUUAUAAUCCUUGUAGGACCACCAGUGGCGAAAGCGUUAGACUGGAACGCGCCUGACAGUGAGGGACGAAAGCCAGGGGAGCGAACCGGAUUAGAUACCCGGGUAGUCCUGGCCGUAAACGAUGCGCACUAGGUGAUGGUGCGGCUAUGAGCCGCAUCAGUGUCGUAGGGAAACCGUUAAGUGUGCCGCCUGGGAAGUACGGUCGCAAGGCUUAAACUUAAGGAAUUGGCGGGGGAGCACCACAAGGGGUGAAGCCUGCGGUUC
Molecule: ribosomal RNA, 428 nt
Filed under: uncultured archaeon
Lineage: Archaea
Description: bacterial SSU rRNA
Rfam family: Archaeal small subunit ribosomal RNA
Source: RNAcentral